UCUCGAGUACUGAGGUGACAGGCGUACACACCCAGCCAGUGGUCUGCAUCUCUAACCCUCCCAAUGAAGCAGGACUCAUUGGAUUCAAUGCAGUACUACUUGGCAAUAAAGAACAUUGAUUACACUGCUUAAUCUGUUUGUAAAAGAGUUCCGACGGGACUGGGUAUGUAGCUCACUGGUAAAGGGCUGUGGAAAACGGAGGAGACCACAGUCUCCAUCCCCAGCACUUCCACAAGUAAUGGUUUAAGUCAACAUUUGACUCCGUGUAAUUUUCAGAUCUUUGCCUUUCACAACCUCCAUAAUAGAGUUGUUACAAGUCCCUGGCAUUCAUGGUAGAUCCUGGUCUGCACUGGCUUAAGUCACUAAUCUCUCAGUUCUAAUGUUUAAGGAUGAAGAAUUUAUACAGCUGCCCCCAGUACCACCACCCCUCAUAACACCAUCAGCAACUAUUUCCAAAGAAGCAGUAAGUAAUCCACAGAGAAACCUCUCUCCCCAGGUAUCUGGAAGGGCGCUGAGGCUGCGGAAUCAGGCCCACCGCAAACACUACGGUUCUUGCUGGCAUCCAAACAGGAAGGACUCUAGCAAUCUCGUAACUGCUGCCUUUUCCCCUCAACUAUCCAAAAGUAGAGGGGAGAAGCCAGCCCCCUGGUGGAGCAACCUGAGCAUGGAAGUCUAGGAGCUAAUUACACUAUAGGCAGAGCCUUGGUUUUUAUGUGCUGAAUGCAAAUGGUUCCCACAUGUUAUGUAGUCUACACAGGUUUCUGAUGUCAGGAAAUACAAGCAGGGAAACAAUUAAAGUUUUAGAAAAAUACAUGUAAAUAGGAAAUUUCUGUGCCCACUUCUCCCAUUUGGGCCAAGUAAUUUGGGGGAGGCCAGAAAGCAUGACAGGCAAACAGGAGGAAGGUCACCCAGUGGAGGGAGUGGGUGGUUGGGGGAGAUGGACUGCAUGUGACAGGUCCACUGCGGAUGGAUAGUGGGUGAGCCUAUGGCUGGGUCGGCAUUCAGAGAGGCCCGUGCCUGUGUCUUCACCUUCAUCACCAAAGCAGUCACACAAAUCUGAUUUUGUGGCCGCUGCUGUCUGGUUGCUUUUCUUUGUGGAGGGGUGAGGGUGGAGGACGUUCACUCUGAAUGUAGUUCAGGCCUUCCUGGAUCUCAGGCCGGCUCUGCGACCUCACCAGCCUCCGGACAGGGAUUACAGUCAGGUGGGGAUCACAGGCUUGACACCCGUUGAGCCUGGCUUGUGGCCAUUAAUUUAGAAGGUCAAAGUGGAUGCCUGCAGAACUUAAGCUGCUUGUGACCAGAGCCUAAAGUCCUGUUUUAUACCCAGAUCCUCCAGGCCAAGUCUCAGGAGACCUCACAGAACAGCAAGGCUAAUUCAAAAGGAGCCUAAAGAUACCUUGAAGAUGGGCCUCACUCUCUCCAAUCACUGCCAGUCAGCAGUGGCGUCCAUGAAGGAGUUCUAGCGGAGACUGUCUGGCUUGAGAUAAAGGAUCAGCCAUUAAGUCGUUGGAGGCCUCGUGACCAUUCGUGAUCCGAGCAGUGACACCAAGUUCAGGCCACUUAGAGAAGCUUAAUUACAGCCUAUCUCUACUGUAUAAUUUCGUCAUCUUACUAAACGUUGCAUAAAGCCACUCCCACCA
RNAcentral lists this long non-coding RNA (1640 nucleotides) under Rattus norvegicus (Norway rat). RNAcentral's name for it is "long non-coding RNA NONRATT011600". Lineage: Eukaryota; Metazoa; Chordata; Mammalia; Rodentia; Muridae. The record is from RNAcentral.